This 6232-nucleotide long non-coding RNA is filed under the name Brassica napus (rape). RNAcentral describes it as "long non-coding RNA (BNAP_LNC002470)". Lineage: Eukaryota; Viridiplantae; Streptophyta; Magnoliopsida; Brassicales; Brassicaceae. The record is from RNAcentral.
UUUAUUAAACCAAUGAUUAAUGACAUUAACGUGUCUUCUUCACUAAAAUGUCUUGAGAUCUCUAUCCAUCCCAUCACUCUCCAGAGGCUAAUUCACACUCUAUCGGGCAAGCAAGAACCUCAUCCCCAUCUGAACUUUUUUUUUUUUAAACUGACUUAUAAAAGGUAAAGCUAAAUGGCGGUGGCCUUCCAUGGAGGCCGGAACGGCGUCGGAUCGGGACUCCGCAGUUUCUUCUCGUACCGGAUCUUCAUCUCCGCCUUGUUCUCUUUCCUCUUCCUCGCCACCUUCUCCGUUGUCCUCAACUCCUCUCGUCACCAACCUCAUCUCGAUCACGUAAGCUUCCGAUUCGUUUCACAAUCCGAAUCAAAAUUUAGAAAUGAAUUUAGAAUCUGAGCUUCGAUUUUUGGUGUUUAGACAUUGCCGAGGACGUUUCAAUCGGAUCCGUUGAAAGCUAGGUUAGAUCUGAUCCACAAGCAAGCCACCGAUCACCUCACGCUUGUGAACGCUUACGCUGCUUACGCUAGGAAGCUCAAGCUCGACGCGUCGAAGCAGCUGAAGCUCUUCGAAGAUCUGGCGGUUAACUUCUCCGAUCUGCAGGCCAAACCUGGACUGAAGCUCGAAAACGGGAACGCGAUCGAGGAGGAUGCGUUUCGGCAGAUCGAGAAAGAGGUUAAAGAUAAGGUGAAGACCGCGAGGAUGAUGAUCGUUGAGUCCAAAGAGAGUUACGAUACACAGCUCAAGAUCCAGAAGCUCAAGGAUACGAUCUUCGCUGUUCAAGAACAGUUGACGAAAGCUAAGAAAAACGGCGCCGUUGCGAGCUUGAUCUCGGCUAAGUCGGUUCCCAAGAGUCUUAACUGUUUGGCUAUGAGGCUUGUUGGUGAGAGGAUCUCUAACCCUGAGAAGUAUAAGGAUGCUCCGUUUGAUUCGGCUGUGUUGGAGGAUCCGAGUCUUUAUCACUACGCGGUUUUCUCUGAUAAUGUGAUUGCUGUUUCCGUUGUGGUGAGGUCGGUUGUGGUGAACGCUGAGGAGCCGUGGAAGCAUGUGUUUCAUGUGGUGACUGAUAGGAUGAAUCUCGCCGCUAUGAAGGUUUGGUUUAAGAUGCGUCCUUUGGACCGUGGUGCUCGUGUUGAGAUUAAGUCGGUUGAGGAGUUUAAGUUCUUGAACUCUUCGUAUGCGCCGGUCUUGAGGCAGUUAGAGUCUGCUAAGUUGCAGAAGUUUUACUUUGAGAACCAGGCGGAGAACUCGACUAGAGAUGAACAUAACAUCAAGUUCAAGAACCCCAAGUAUCUCUCGGUGUUGAACCAUCUGAGAUUCUACUUACCGGAGAUGUAUCCGAAGCUGAAUAAGAUCUUGUUCUUGGACGAUGAUGUUGUGGUGCAGAAGGACGUGACUGGGUUGUGGAAGAUUAAUUUAGAUGGGAAGGUGAAUGGAGCUGUUGAGACGUGCUUUGGCUCUUUUCAUCGAUAUGGUCAAUACCUAAACUUCACUCAUCCUCUGAUCAAAGAGAGCUUUAACCCCAAUGCUUGUGCUUGGGCCUUUGGGAUGAAUAUAUUUGAUCUCAAUGCUUGGAGGCGCGAGAAAUGCACAGAUCAAUACCAUUACUGGCAGAACUUGGUAAGCCCCAUAUCUUUCUUAGUAACUUAUGCAUUUCAAAAAAUCUCUUUUAUCUUGUGUUGAUUGUGUGCUAAUCUCUGAGCAGAAUGAAGACAGAAGUCUCUGGAAAUUAGGCACUCUGCCUCCGGGACUGAUGACAUUCUAUUCAAAGACGAAAUCACUGGACAAGUCCUGGCAUGUGCUUGGGUUAGGCUACAACCCGGGAGUGAGCAUGGACGAGAUAAAAAAAGCAGCAGUGAUACAUUACAAUGGGAACAUGAAACCAUGGCUAGACAUUGCUAUGAACCAAUACAAGUCUCUCUGGACUAAAUACGUCGACAACGAAAUGGAGUUUGUGCAGAUGUGCAAUUUUGGUCUUUAAAGAAAGAUAUCGAUGAAGAGGUAACCUCAAAUCGAUAUAUGUUCAGUCAUUCAGGGCAUUCUUUAGCUUAUAUACGUUUAUCUUUUAUAUAUUAUAUAGGGUUACAAAAGUGUUUUGCUUUGUUCUUUCUGUCAUAGUUUUGUUCUUUAUUUAUAUUUUGUGUAACUCUUUCACAUCAAAAGCUUUAUCCAAAACUACAAUGUGUUAAGGUUUGUUUCAUGCAAAGUUUUGACUUAUGAUUGAAACAUUAAAGAGAAAUGGAUUAGGAAGAUAAUGAAUUUUUAUCAUAUGUUGAUUUAGUUUCAUUUUAUUACUAAAAUCAUGAUGAGCUAACUACUUUACAAAACACAAUAAGAUUUUAUCAUAUGUUUGUAUAUCUACAAAAAUAGUUAGAAAUUCAACAAAGUUGUUAUGACCGUUUCUCACCGCAAGACAGAAACUCAAAGAUCCUGUCUCGAGUCAAUGUACGUCCAAACUGCACAAACCCAUCGCACCUUCCGGUCUCUCUGUCUAGGUCAACGAGCGUUGACUUCAAUUUCUCCAGUUCCUCCUCCAUCCCUCCCAUAGCAAAUGCCACAGACGACCGUUUAUUCACGGCGAUGUCCACCGUUAGUCUAAUGGAUCUCUCCACCGCCUCCAACAUACUCACAAGUCUGCUCAUCUUCUCAACCUCCUUGAGAGCCACCAUCGUUUCCCUCUCCAUCGACGUCACUGCUGUCUUUUCCCGUUUCAGAGUUUCCGACGACUCUCUCCACCUCGAAGCAGCAAAGUUAGUCACUGCUUCAACCGGUACAGGUACAAAGAUACCCGCCACGAUUUUUCCCACGGCCACUAGAGCGAUCAUCGCCGCCGCAACCUUGAUCCUUGGAUGCUGUCUUUAUGGAGUACAUUAUAUCAGAUCAAUCCAAAAUACUUUCCUAAAGGUCCAGAUGUGAUGAUUCCUCAAGAUGAAUUAACUGAUCAGCCCAAAUAUAGGAUCUUAUAUCAUAAGCAGGAGACACUGGAGCCUGAAUUGAUGGCAGAGUCAGGUACACCAAGUUUUUAUUCCUAUCAUGUUUUUAAGGAGGGGAUUCAUGGUGUGGAUACUUUGCUCCAUCAUGUUAGCUUAGGACUAUGUUAUGCUACUUAACAGUGAACUUUCUGUCUAGUUAAUAAUGGUAAUUGCUAGAAAAAUGUCAAUGUAGAGAAAUGACUUUUAAUGUUCUGGUUCAGUUGGCUCGUGAACUCUUGCAUAAUAUGCCUCUUAUUGUUUUAGCAGACAUCAUAGAAAGAGCCCGUGGAAUGUCACCCGGAAAAUUAUCCAAGGACAAAACUAAACCAGACUGCUUUCUCAAGAUGGUACUAUGCACAUCCAUUAUAUUUUUUUUUUGAUUUUAUGUUAUAUAUGCUAUGCAACCUUGCUGGUUAUGCUAUUUUUUUAUGCUGUGUUACCUUGAAUACGGAUUUGAUGGUCCUUCUUGGUCAAAAUAUGUUUUCUUAAAAUAUCUUAUUUCUGGUAAGCCUGGAUGAUAUGAGUUUUAUUCCCUUGGCUUGCAUUUAAAUAUUUCAAUCAUGCAGAUUAAAAAUGAAGUCUUGACGAAAGCUGGAAGUACAAAGGAUGUCCGCCACUUCGAGUUCCAAUUUGUUUCUUCUGUAAGUAACUUUGCUAUCACUUACUAACUAGUUUCAAUCAAUUUCUCCUCUUUUAUGAAGUGGUUGUUCAAUUAAUUUCUCCUCUUUGUUUUUUUUUUAAUUCAUUUAAGAGUAUCAAAUAUGAAGUGGGCGAUGUUGUUGAGCUUCUUCCAAGCCAAGAUUCUUCAGCAAUAGAUGCGUUUAUAAAACGCUGUCAUUUGGACCCGGAAUCAUUCAUCACAGUAAGUAGCUCCACUCUGUUGACAUGAUGAUCCCAGAUUGUCUAACUGAAGUAAAUUUUGAUAACUAAUUUACUUUCAGGUUUGUCCGAGAGAGACAGUGAAUAAUGGUUCAUGUGGAGAAGUAAUUACACACCAUGUCCCUAUCAAGCUUAAGACUUUUGUUGAAUUAACAAUGGACGUUACAUCUGCUUCACCUCGACGAUACUUCUUCGAGGUAAGAGUCCUAAUGAUCUUGAAUAUCAGAUUUUUAUAAUGUAAUUUUAAGUAUUUGAUGGAAGUCGUUACAAUGUAUCUUCUCGGUGUCAGGUUAUGAGCUUCUAUGCAACAGCUGAACUUGAGAAGGAAAGACUGCAAUACUUUGCCUCAGCCGAGGGACGUGAUGACCUCUACAAUUACAAUCAGAAGGAAAGAAAAAGCGUCCUUGAGGUAACCAAUUGGGGACACCAUGAUUCGUCUUGAACCAAAUAGAUCUUAUUGCUACUGCCUAUGUAGGUGCUAGAGGAUUUCUCUUCCGUGCAAAUGCCUUUUGAGUGGCUAGUACAGUUAGUACCAUCGCUAAAACCACGAGCUUUUUCGAUAUCUUCAUCUCCUUUGGCCCACCCUGGUCAAGUACAUUUGACAGUAAGCGUGGUAUCAUGGAUCACCCCUUCAUACCCUUAUAAGAGAACUCGAAAAGGUCUAUGCUCCUCUUGGCUCGCAAGCCUCACACCUGAGCAAGGUUAGCACUGUGUUUCUAUGUAUUAUUUUAACUGACUCAGGUCUUUGUUUCUACGUAUUUAUCUUACAUUUUGUGUUCCGUUGUGUUUAGAGAUAAACAUACCGAUUUGGUUUCACAAAGGCUCUCUUCCUGCUCCACCACAGUCGCUUCCACUCAUCUUAGUGGGACCUGGAACCGGAUGUGCCCCUUUCCGCGGGUUCAUAGCUGAGAGAGCCGUGCAAGCUCAGACCAGCCCGAUCGCACCAGUCAUGUUCUUCUUUGGUUGCAGGAACAAAGACACUGACUUUUUAUACAAAGACUUCUGGGAGUCUCAUGCAAGAGAAGGAGGCAUGCUCUCUGAAGUAAAAGGCGGAGGGUUUUACACAGCAUUCUCUAGAGACCAACCGAAGAAGGUUUACGUGCAACACAGGAUACUAGAGAUGAGGAAGAAAGUUUGGGAUUUGCUAUGUGAUGGAGCCGCCGUUUACGUGGCGGGCUCGUCCACGAAAAUGCCUUGUGAUGUGAUGUCGGCCUUGGAGGAGAUUGUGAUGGAGGAGACCGGAGGAUCAAAGGAAAUGGCUUCACGGUGGCUCAAGGCUUUGGAGAAAGCUGGGAGAUACAAUGUUGAAGCUUGGUCUUAAACCCAACUUCCUCCAUAUCAUGUAAUGUUUGAUUACUAGCUAUACGAAUCAUUGGAUUAUUUAUUUAUUUAAAUUGAUUUUAUAAUAUUCACAUUGAACGGUUCAAAUGAAGAUGAUUUGUUUGAUUGUAUACAUUUGAACUUUAUUUAUAAUUUAAUUUUAAUUUUUUUUAUAUAACGAGGUUCUUACCUUUUUCAUUUUAACUAGAGUUUGUUGAAUAAAUCAUUCACCUCACUGAAUAAUACAAGAUUUCAGUGUUUAUAUAAAAAUCAUCAAUUAAAUAACAUCAGAUUUUAAACAGAACUGAAAAUCAACGUACAAUGUCAAUUACUCAAUUUUUUUAUUUAUUAAUUUAUUGUAUAAUAACACUUUAGUUAUUUUUCAAAUGUUUUCGAUCGGCAAAUUUAAUAGAAUAUAUUUAUUCUUCAAUUAAUCAUUGAGUGGCAAAAUUAAAAAUGAAAUAAUCAAUUGUUAUAAAAUGGACAGAAACUAUUAUUUUUCUAAAUUUGUUUAUUUUUUUAAAAAAAAUUGUGCAGUCAAAGUGUUAGUUGAUAAUAAUUCUACACAAACAAUACUUUCAAGUAUUAAAGCUGCUGGUUUCAAAUACUUUGGUAAUAAAAUGUUAAUGUCCUAAAGUAUAUAGGUGAGACUGGGGUUUUAAUAAUAUUGAGAGUUUAUAUCUACACUAUAAAUUAGUAAUUGUUUAUUAAACCAAUGAUUAAUGACAUUAACGUGUCUUCUUCACUAAAAUGUCUUGAGAUCUCUAUCCAUCCCAUCACUCUCCAGAGGCUAAUUCACACUCUAUCGGGCAAGCAAGAACCUCAUCCCCAUCUGAACUUUUUUUUUUUUAAACUGACUUAUAAAAGGUAAAGCUAAAUGGCGGUGGCCUUCCAUGGAGGCCGGAACGGCGUCGGAUCGGGACUCCGCAGUUUCUUCUCGUACCGGAUCUUCAUCUCCGCCUUGUUCUCUUUCCUCUUCCUCGCCACCUUCUCCGUUGUCCUCAACUCCUCUCGUCACCAACCUCAUCUCGAUCACGUAAGCUUCCGAUUCGUUUCACAAUCCGAAU